RNAcentral lists this long non-coding RNA (201 nucleotides) under Elaeis guineensis (African oil palm). Its description in RNAcentral is "long non-coding RNA (EGUI_LNC069494)". The record is from RNAcentral. Lineage: Eukaryota; Viridiplantae; Streptophyta; Magnoliopsida; Arecales; Arecaceae.
CCUACACCCCGAAUAUGACUCCGGAUAUGGAAUGAUGUCAAAUCCAAUAUCAUACUCAUAUUUCUCUCAAUCUUAUAUGAUGAUUCAAUUAAUAAAAUAUUAAAAAAAAAUUCUAAUUUUUAUUCUACUUUGAUCAAAGGCUUCCUAAAUCAUCAAUUGAUCAGAGCAAGUAGGAUACGAUCUCCUCUUACCAAGAGUGAU